RNAcentral lists this ribosomal RNA (256 nucleotides) under uncultured bacterium. RNAcentral describes it as "partial 16S ribosomal RNA". It matches the Rfam family "Bacterial small subunit ribosomal RNA", at positions 524 to 776 of the family's 1533-position model. The record is from RNAcentral.
UACGAAGGGGGGCUAGCGUUGCUCGGAAUUACUGGGCGUAAAGCGCACGUAGGCGGAUCUUUAAGUCAGGGGUGAAAUCCUGGAGCUCAACGUCCAGAACUGCCUUUGAUACUGAGGACCUUGAGUUCGGGAGAGGUGAGUGGAACUGCGAGUGUAGAGGUGAAAUUCGUAGAUAUUCGGCAAGAACACCAGUGGCGAAGGCGGCUCACUGGCCCGGUACUGACGCUGCGGUGCGAAAGCGUGGGGAGCAAACAGG